UGAAAUUCACUCACAUUCAUGAAGCUCUGAAAAGGGAAGGUUUUUCAAAACUGGUCAACAGUGGAACCUGAUUCAAAUGGGGGAGGAAAAACUAUCAUACACUGAAGGAGAUAUAAAAGCUGAAUCAACUAAAUACAGUGUGGACAUUGUCUGAAAUCUAAUUUGAAGAAUCUAAAGAACAGAACGGCAUUUUGAGACAAUCAUGGAACAUUAAACAUGAAAGAGGAGGAGACUGAGACAUUGAAAUUGUAAGCCACUUGCUCAGGGACCCAGGGAGAAGGAGCCAAGGGGGCGAGAAACUAGGUACUAACAGAAGGAUAGUCCUGUGGUUCCUGGUGUGCUAUCUGUACAUGUGAUCAUUUUUCUCCUACUCAAGAAAACACACCAGAAUGCAAGUCGGUGAAUUUUUGUAAAGAGAUCAUCUUGAAUCUGCUUCCAUUCAUUAAAAAAUUUAUCAGCAUUGA
Long non-coding RNA from Neofelis nebulosa (Clouded leopard), 464 nucleotides. RefSeq lists it as uncharacterized. The transcript has 4 exons. The record is from RefSeq and is a predicted model, not a curated record. Lineage: Eukaryota; Metazoa; Chordata; Mammalia; Carnivora; Felidae.